CGCGUAGGCGGUUUGGCAAAGUCUGACGUGAAAUGUACCGGUUCAACCGGGGCGCUGUGUCAGAAACUGCCAUACUUGAGGUCGAGGGAGGAGAGUGAAUUCCUGUGUAGCGGUGAAAUGCGUAGAUAUCAGGAGGAACAUCAGUGGCGAAGGCGACUGCCUGGACCAAGACUGACGCUGAGGUACGAAAGCGUGGGGAGCAAACA
RNAcentral lists this ribosomal RNA (206 nucleotides) under uncultured bacterium. RNAcentral's name for it is "partial 16S ribosomal RNA". It matches the Rfam family "Bacterial small subunit ribosomal RNA", at positions 568 to 774 of the family's 1533-position model. The record is from RNAcentral.